CCCUUAGAUGUUCUGGGCCGCACGCGCGCUACACUGACGAAUGCAACGAGCUUAUAACCUUGGCCGAAAGGUCUGGGUAAUCUCCAAAUUUCGUCGUGAUGGGGAUAGAUUAUUGCAAUUAUUAAUCUUCAACGAGGAAUGCCUAGUAAGCGCAAGUCAUCAGCUUGCGUUGAUUACGUCCCUGCCCUUUGUACACACCGCCCGUCGCUCCUACCGAUUGAAUGGUCCGGUGAAGCGUUCGGACCGUGGCCUUUGGACGGUUCGCCGUCUGUUGGCUGCGGGAAGUUCGUUAAACCUCAUCAUUUAGAGGAAGGAGAAGUCGUAACA
Molecule: ribosomal RNA, 327 nt
Filed under: uncultured eukaryote
Lineage: Eukaryota
Description: partial 18S ribosomal RNA
Rfam family: Eukaryotic small subunit ribosomal RNA
Source: RNAcentral